AAUCAACCUGUAUUGCAAAGCUUGCUAAUUACAAGAUAACAGUAUUAUUAAAGCUGUUUAUGUGCUCUUUGGCAGCAGAUUCAAAUUUAAAUCUGGUUGUUAAAUCAGUGUUUGACCAUGUCUGCAUACUAUUUCAUUUCAGACAAAAAUACAUGUGUAAAUGCAUUUGUAAAAACCAUUUGCUUUUGAAUUAAGCUUUUCGUGUUUCUGCUACCAAUAUGGAAUCUUUCUCCUAAAGGAACUAUCUCCUUUUGAUUGUUUCUAGAACACUGAUGUAGAAAUAUGGUACAGGGACUGCUUUUUCCAGCCUAUGUCACCCAACACUGAUAUUCAAGAAUAACUUACCAAAGUAACCUUGUGCAACAAGUAAAUUAUGCUCUGUUUUUAGUACAGGUUAGCCCUGAAGAUGAAUUUUUAUCUGUUUAAGUAUGCUUUGGGUCUUGGAAGUAUUAUCCUUAUGUUUUGAAUGUUAUUAUUUUCAUAAAACUGUCAUUAUGCAUGAUUCACCUUUGGUUCUCUCUUCACACCAUGAAUUAAAUGCAUAGCAAGCAAGAACUGCUAUCAUUUUGUGCAUGAUUUUGUCAAUCUCUAUUAUGAGUUUAGAGAGAGUCCUGAUUAUGGACUUGCUCCUUCAUGGGAAGCAUCAUCAAAGAUUUAAACUCAAAACAUGCUAGACAAGCAGCAAUUUUAUCUCACUUGGCUUAACUUUAGCCGGUUUUAACCUAUCUAAUCCCAAUAGUCCCAAGCUCAUAAAAGUUCUACAGCAUUUCCAGACUGGACAAAAGUUGUGUUUUUGUCCCUUGUUUUUCUUCAUUCAUAUUCUUUUUGAUCUUUUUGUUUAGUUUAGUUUUGUUUCUGUUCAUUUUUUUUCUUUUAGAUUUUAAAAAGAGUUGUGUGUCUAGUAUGUUUUGAAUCUGAAGACUCUAGAACCGUGAUGGCAAACCUAUUGCACGUGUGCCGAAAGUGGCAUGCAGAACUAUCUCCGCCAGCACGUAAGCCAUCGCCCUGGAGCAGGUCCACUGUGCAUGUGUGCGCGCUGCCUGCCCACCAGCUGAUCGUCGGGCAGCUGCCGCGCAUAUGUGGGGGCAGGGCGCGUGCAGGAGAUGCGCACGCAUGAGCAGGGGGCAUGCAUUGCCUUAUGGGUGCUGCCACACGUGUGCACGCACGCAUGUGUGCACGGGCACUUUUGGCGCAAGAGGACAGAAAGGUUAGCCAUCACUGAUCUAGAAUAUGACUGACCAGUCUUUUGGCUUCACUGGGCCACAUUGAGUGAAAAGGAAUUGUCAGCAUAUAAAGUAUAUAAUAUAGUUAAUAUACAUCAAUAACAAACCUUUUAAUAUUUGUAUUAUCUUGUAGAGCUACAUUAGCAGUUGUCCAGGGUUAGCCACAGGUUGGACACACCUGCUCUAGAUGCUGCUGGACUUGUUCCUAACCAAUAUCUCCAUUUUCUAUAGGUGGACAUAUACUGUAUACAAGUAAUCCCCAGGUUAAGAGUGUUCCCUUACGUUUGAAGUUACACGAUAAGCGCCCCCUAGGGUUUAUGAACACAUUCCGAAACUACGAAUCUUGCAGCACCGUGGUAGUUAUUCGCCCUUACAAACAACUGCAAAGGCUCUGCAACAUUCAUAUUGAAUGUUGCCAGCCAAAAUGGAGCUUCUGAGUGAUGGAUCUGUCCCUCCAAUGUGCUGUUCAGGCCUCCAGAGGCCUCACCCAGCAUGUUGCAGGCCGAAAUGGAGUAUUGGAGGGCCUCUGGAGGCCUGAGCAGAACGUCUGAGGGGAACAUGCAGCUGAGAGCCUGGAAAGGAGACUGCUUGCUAGAUCUUCACACAGUAAAUGACCUGCCUCAGCAGGUUAGUGGAGGGGAAAAGCAAUUGUGGGGAGCAUGAGAUAUUUCAGAGGGUCGGGGUGGCCUUGGGUGGUUUUAGGCAUGUGGCCUGUGUCAUCACUAGGCCCCCAUGGCCUUCGCCACCAUGAAAUACCUCAUGUGCACUUAACGAGCCUCACAUUCAAAUAGCGAAUACAUGGGUGAAAGGUGGGAGUGAUCCCAUUCAAAGUACAAGAUUCACUCCCACGAAUCCUCAGGUUACGAAUGGAAUGGGCAGAUGCCAUUACAUUCAUAACUCAAGGACUACCUGUAUAAUUUAGAGACUCAAAUUGGUAAGCAUCGUUUUUCACCAGAGUAUCAAUUAAAGAUAUAAUUCAGUAAAUAUAUACUGCACAUGCAGAGGACAAUAAAUAUUUAUUCAAAGUGAAGUAAGGAAAAACAAAAUAAACAAAGGAUCAAAAACAAUUAUGAGGAACUCCUAAAAUUAGGCAUAAAAUACAGGAACUCUAUUUGCCCACAAAUCAUUUCCACGUGAUUUUUGUAAACUCUUUAACUUAUCAUUGCAACUCUACAGCACAGCUACAUCUAAAUCCAAUGGCAUAAUUAUGGCUUCAAACGUUUUGAAUUUUUUUUUUCCUGGAAAUAAUCUGACUACAAGACAGUCAUUAGAUAUUAUCAGAUAGAUUUACAUGCAAAAUCUAUAUUAUUGCACUAUAUUGUUAUACAACAUCCAACACUAGAAACAAAAUAAAUCUGCUUUGCUUAACCUCUAGCUUAUUAAUUAUUGCAAGGCUCUCACAUCAUCUGGCAUAAAAUAACAACUAAAAAUCACAGCAGUUUUAUCAAACACCACAGUUAGUGAUUCUUGAAGUAAAAUGCAGCUUGACAAACAUAGUUACAACUUGUAAACACAGUUAGCUCACAGCACCUUUGUCUGUCUCUAGGGAAUAUAAGAAUGUCUCCUCAAACUGGUUUUGUUGUAGAUAUUGGAAGAUAUUAAAGUUCAGGAUUGCAUUUUAAAGAUUAAAGAAGGUGCAAUGAAGAAAAAUUGAGUCCUAAAUCACAUCUCUUAGGGUUUUCACCAAGGAAGAAAGUGAGGCAUCUCUGUGGGGAAUUCUUGUAGUUUGAGGAGAUUGGAGCUAAAAGGUGCACCUGAAGGGAGGAAGAAAGCAUAUUUUUCUCAGCUAAAAUAGUCCCUGCUUAUCUCACAAAAGAUUGUAUAUUGUGGUCAUAGAAAAAUAAUCACAGCUUUAUAGAAAAUUGGUAGUUUUUCCCAAGGGGAGGCAAAUGAACUAAACUAGCUGAAGGAAAGAGGAGAAAAGCUCAGAAUUUUCCAAAGAUAAGGAAGAAAGCAAUUAACUUUCUAAGACUGUUUAACUUUCAGAAACAAUCUAUCCUUUGAAAAGUGACCACAUUAUUCAAGAAGUAGACAAUGUUUUCCCUACUGAUUUCAUGUAUUAAUAUUUUAUCUUAAUUGAAGAAUGGGGAAAUUAUUUUCUUUCCUUCUCAAAGGCAAAACAUACAGAAAAGAACAAAUUCCAAACAUGAACAACAAAAAGAUGAGUCCUUACAUCGUUUCUCCCUGAUCACUAAAACAGGUUCAUAGGAACAUAAUGCUUCCUUUGAAGCUUCAUUGAAACAAACUAAGGUACAACUCCCAAAACCAGGAAUGUAAAAAGUUGAUACCCUGGCAAACAUUUUACAUCAUAGAACUUCUACAAUGAGAUAUUAUAGGCUUUGGAAGCAGGAGAAUUAGAGCAAAAUGGAUGUACUUAACCCUGACUCAUUUGGAGUUUUAUUUGCAUGCAGAUGUUGCAAACCUUUUUGAACUUUUCUUAUGCAAGUGUUAUUUGAAGGAUAUCCCUGGUGGGUUGGGCUUAAUAAGCGGUUAAGCACAUCUAUUUUUGGGACUGUUUCAAGAACACUUGUGUUAACUCAGUUAGAGUCUGUCUCUCUGUCUCUGUCUCUCCCCCUCCCUCCCACUCACUCCCCCGCCUCUUUCUCUCCAAUCUGAUUUAUAAAGUUUGAUUAUGCUAGAUUGACAAUCUGCACCAGGCUACUACAGCUGAAAACAGACAUGGAAAUAUUAAUACUGAAUCAUGAAAAACAAUGGAACUGACACAGAGAGGUAUCUACCAGCAAACCAUUUUCAAUAAUCAACUCCACCCCUUCUCAUGUUCAGUCAUUACUGUUGAUAUAACCAUUUCUGAAGCUAGUAAAAGGUAACAAAGCACUUUAAAGCCAGGGCAUGACUUUACUGCAGUUUGAUGUUUCCAUAUCAAAGAGUCUGCUGUAGGGUACCUUAAUUUUCCUUCAUUGAAGAAAGAAUUAAGGAUAGUCCAGGUAGCAGGAAGCAGAAAAGGAAAGAGAGCAAGAUUGAAACACCAUUUGAUUUGCUAAUGGGCCCAUCUUCACAAGAAUGUCUUUUUUAAAAAAAUCCUAAGUAAGAAAUAAGCAUCCCUAUCAGUCACAGUAAAAGCAGGAAUGUAAAGAAAAUUGAAUUCUCUCAAACCUAACACAUCU
Molecule: non-coding RNA, 4348 nt
Organism: Notechis scutatus (mainland tiger snake)
Lineage: Eukaryota; Metazoa; Chordata; Lepidosauria; Squamata; Elapidae
Source: RefSeq, a predicted model, not a curated record